Molecule: ribosomal RNA, 239 nt
Filed under: uncultured bacterium
Lineage: Bacteria
Description: partial 16S ribosomal RNA
Rfam family: Bacterial small subunit ribosomal RNA
Source: RNAcentral
UACGUAGGGGGCAAGCGUUGUCCGGAAUCAUUGGGCGUAAAGCGCGCGUAGGCGGUCCGGUAAGUCCGCUGUAAAAGUCAAGGGCUCAACCCUUGAAUGCCGGUGGAAACUGUCGGACUAGAGUCCGGAAGAGGCGAGUGGAAUUCCUGGUGUAGCGGUGAAAUGCGCAGAUAUCAGGAGGAACACCGACGGCGAAGGCAGCUCGCUGGGACGGUACUGACGCUGAGGAGCGAAAGCCA